CGGCCGCGUCGACGAAACACGGAAAGACGGUUUCGGCUGUCACUGCAGGAUGGGCCCGCGGCGCAUUAGCUAGUUGGUGGGGUAAUGGCCUACCAAGGCGACGAUGCGUAGCCGACCUGAGAGGGUGAUCGGCCACACUGGGACUGAGACACGGCCCAGACUCCUACGGGAGGCAGCAGUAGGGAAUCUUCCGCAAUGGACGCAAGUCUGACGGAGCAACGCCGCGUGAGUGACGAAGGUUUUCGGAUCGUAAAACUCUGUUGUGAGGGAAGAACGGGUGUGAGAGUGGAAAGUUCACACUGUGACGGUAGCUUACCAGAAAGGGCGGCUAACUACGUGCCAGCAGCCGCGGUAAUACGUAGGUCCCGAGCGUUGUCCGGAUUUAUUGGGCGUCGACGCGGCCGAGUCGUGGAGGCAAGGCACGACAGGGGGAUAGG
Molecule: ribosomal RNA, 437 nt
Filed under: uncultured Bacilli bacterium
Lineage: Bacteria; Bacillati; Bacillota; Bacilli
Description: bacterial SSU rRNA
Rfam family: Bacterial small subunit ribosomal RNA
Source: RNAcentral